RNAcentral lists this small RNA (584 nucleotides) under Pongo abelii (Sumatran orangutan). RNAcentral describes it as "processed transcript". The record is from RNAcentral. Lineage: Eukaryota; Metazoa; Chordata; Mammalia; Primates; Hominidae.
GGUAGCAGGUGAGGCUGAAAAUGCAAGUAGCAAGCUAAAAACUGGUUUCAAGUCCUCCCCAUCUGGUGAAACCUCAGAGCCCAUCAGAUAGAAAAUGCCAGCUGGGACUGUGCUAAUUCGCUUUCACAAUCAACAGUGUCGACAUGAAGAGCCUGCCGGACUGGACGGUGCAAAAUGGGAAGAACCUGACCCUGCAGUGCUUCGCGGAUGUCAGCACCACCUCUCACGUCAAGCCUCAGCACCAGAUGCUGUUCUAUAAGGAUGACGUGCUGUUUUACAACAUCUCCUCCAUGAAGAGCACAGAGAGUUAUUUUAUUCCUGAAGUCCGGAUCUAUGACUCAGGGACGUAUAAAUGUACUGUGAUUGUGAACAACAAAGAGAAAACCACAUCAGAGUACCAGGUGUUGGUGGAAGGAGUGCCCAAUCCCAGGGUGACACUGGACAAGAAAGAGGCCAUCCAAGGCGGGGUCGUGAGGGUCAACUGUUCUGUCCCAGAGGAAAAGGCCCCAAUAUACUUCACAAUUGAAAAACUUGAACUAAAUAAAAAAAUGGCCAAGCAAAAAAGAGAGAAGGCUUCUCGGGAC